UACAGAGGUCCCAAGCGUUGUUCGGAUUCACUGGGCGUAAAGGGUGCGUAGGUGGUGGGGUAAGUCGGAUGUGAAAUCUCCGAGCUCAACUCGGAAAUGGCAUUGGAAACUACCCUGCUAGAGGGUCGGAGGGGGGACUGGAAUGCUUGGUGUAGCAGUGAAAUGCGUAGAUAUCAAGCGGAACACCAGUGGCGAAGGCGAGUCCCUGGACGACUCCUGACACUGAGGCACGAAAGCUAGGGGAGCAAACAGG
Molecule: ribosomal RNA, 253 nt
Filed under: uncultured bacterium
Lineage: Bacteria
Description: partial 16S ribosomal RNA
Rfam family: Bacterial small subunit ribosomal RNA
Source: RNAcentral